Molecule: ribosomal RNA, 914 nt
Filed under: Triticum aestivum (bread wheat)
Lineage: Eukaryota; Viridiplantae; Streptophyta; Magnoliopsida; Poales; Poaceae
Description: partial small subunit ribosomal RNA
Source: RNAcentral
AAUAGAGAGACGGGUGGAGGGGUGCAAAGCGGGGGGUAAAGCUUCGGGUGGCUUAAGGAGCGCUAAGGAGAGGGGAGCGGAGGAGCAGGAGGGGGAGGAUCCCCUAGCGGCCUCUCCUUAGCGCUGCUCCCGAAGGAGGAUAGUCAAUUUAGUUUCGGUACCUCGUGUUCCUCUGGCCGACGGUCAGAGCCCUCCCAGGGUAGGAAACGCAGUUAUUGACGCCUAAGAAACCGUCACGCCGCUGGUACUUGUACACGAGGUUCACGGUGUUCCUCUACCGCUACUUCGUCCUCGUCCGGUUCGACCGACGGAGGAGAAAGCUGUCGUAGCAGUUGCCACCGCUACGGCGCUUUCUUGUGGAACGACGACCGUCGUGCCGCCACCGUCAACGAGUGCAACUCCGCUUCUGCGAAUAAUGGCGUGUCGGACGACUAUAGCGGCCAGGGUCGCUCCGCCGCUACCUCUUGGGGUUUCCGGGUUCGGCCACGUCGUGGACGUCUUUCUCCCAACCCGACUGGCCUAAGUUGACGGCCACGCCCUUGAACAUGACGCGCUGCGUGGCAAUGAGCCUGUUCGUGCUCACGUUCAAACUGAUGGCGCGGCGCCGGUACCUGCGGUAGCGGUUCCGGUUGGGCCACCACUUCCGCCUCUUCGAGCUGUUCUAGAUCCUUCCCCGGAGGGAUGCCAGCCGUCUUGUAUUCAACAACCCGUUAGCACUACGUACCGUGUGCGCGGUGCCGCCGUCGGGGUCCAGGCUUGCCAGAGGAACAACCGAUACAACACAUUCGAAAUAAAUACCAGCAGAGAGACGCGCCGCCUUGCAGCGUUGGCCAUUACCAUAGCUCAUUCGCAGCAGCAGACAAUAAUACCAUGGGUACCAGUAAGCGGGAACAGUCAUCAAAGAAAGAAGGACU